AGAGUUUGAUCAUGGCUCAGGAUAAACGCUGGCGGCGCACAUAAGACAUGCAAAUCGAACGGAAGUCGUUGUAAUGAAAUGGAAAUGGACAGAGAACUUGUUCGAAGAAAGUUGAAGUAGACUUACAACAAUGGCUUUAGUGGCGGACUGGUGAGUAACGCGUAAGGAACCUGCCUUUUAGAGGGGAAUAACAAUGAGAAAUCAUUGCUAAUACCGCAUAUGCCGAGAGAAUCACAUGGUACAAUCGGGAAAGGAGCAAUUCGCUAAAAGAUGGCCUUGCGUCUGAUUAGAUAGUUGGUGGGGUAACGGCCUACCAAGUCGACGAUCAGUAGCCGGACUGAGAGGUUGAACGGCCACAUUGGGACUGAGAUACGGCCCAGACUCCUACGGGAGGCAGCAGUCGGGAAUAUUGCGCAAUGGAGGAAACUCUGACGCAGUGACGCCCCGUAUAGGAAGAAGGUUUUCGGAUUGUAAACUAUUGUCGUUAGGGAAGAGAAAGGACAGUACCUAAGGAGGAAGCUCCGGCUAACUACGUGCCAGCAG
RNAcentral lists this ribosomal RNA (543 nucleotides) under uncultured bacterium. RNAcentral describes it as "bacterial SSU rRNA". It matches the Rfam family "Bacterial small subunit ribosomal RNA", at positions 8 to 514 of the family's 1533-position model. The record is from RNAcentral.